This 336-nucleotide ribosomal RNA is filed under the name uncultured bacterium. Its description in RNAcentral is "bacterial SSU rRNA". It matches the Rfam family "Bacterial small subunit ribosomal RNA", at positions 8 to 334 of the family's 1533-position model. The record is from RNAcentral.
AGGGUUUGAUUCUGGCUCAGGAUGAACGCUAGCGACAGGCUUAACACAUGCAAGUCGAGGGGCAGCAUGAUUUGUAGCAAUACAGAUUGAUGGCGACCGGCGCACGGGUGAGUAACGCGUAUGCAACUUACCUAUCAGAGGGGGAUAGCCCGGCGAAAGUCGGAUUAAUACCCCAUAAAACAGGGGUCCCGCAUGGGAAUAUUUGUUAAAGAUUCAUCGCUGAUAGAUAGGCAUGCGUUCCAUUAGGCAGUUGGCGGGGUAACGGCCCACCAAACCGACGAUGGAUAGGGGUUCUGAGAGGAAGGUCCCCCACAUUGGUACUGAGACACGGACCAA